GGAAUAUUGCGCAAUGGACGAAAGUCUGACGCAGCGACGCCUCGUGAGGGACGAAGGUCUUCGGAUUGUAAACCUCUUUCAGCAGGGACGAAGCGAAAGUGACGGUACCUGCAGAAGAAGCACCGGCUAACUAUGUGCCAGCAGCCGCGGUAAUACAUAGGGUGCAAGCGUUGUCCGGAUUUAUUGGGCGUAAAGAGUUCGUAGGCGGUUUCUCGCGUCGGAUGUGAAAACUCAGGGCUCAACCCUGAGCCUGCAUUCGAUACGGGGAAACCUGAGGACGGCAAGGGAGACUGGAACUCCUGGUGUAGCGGUGGAAUGCGCAGAUAUCAGGAAGAACACCAAUGGCGAAGGCAGGUCUCUGGGCCGAUUCUGACGCUGAGGAACGAAAGCGUGGGGAGCAAACAGGAUUAGAUACCCUGGUAGUCCACGCCGUAAACGAUGGACGCUAGGUGUGGGGAACAUUCCACGUUCUCUGCGCCGCAGCUAACGCAUUAAGCGUCCCGCCUGGGGAGUACGACCGCAAGGUUAAAACUCAAAGGAAUUGACGG
This 548-nucleotide ribosomal RNA is filed under the name uncultured bacterium. RNAcentral's name for it is "bacterial SSU rRNA". It matches the Rfam family "Bacterial small subunit ribosomal RNA", at positions 358 to 916 of the family's 1533-position model. The record is from RNAcentral.